RNAcentral lists this transfer RNA (35 nucleotides) under Crocidura beata (Mindanao shrew). RNAcentral's name for it is "partial tRNA-Glu". The record is from RNAcentral. Lineage: Eukaryota; Metazoa; Chordata; Mammalia; Eulipotyphla; Soricidae.
AAAAACCAUCGUUGUUUUUCAACUACAGAAACUUU